RNAcentral lists this non-coding RNA (184 nucleotides) under Desulfobacca sp. The record is from RNAcentral. Lineage: Bacteria; Pseudomonadati; Thermodesulfobacteriota; Desulfobaccia; Desulfobaccales; Desulfobaccaceae.
AUAAUACCUACAAUUGCAGGCCCCGUUGGGUUAAAAGGGAAGACGGUGAAAAUCCGUCGCGGUCCCGCCGCUGUGACCGGGGACGAAACCAGCAGGAGGCCACUGGCUCGAUAAACGGGCUGGGAAGGCGCUGGGAGUAGAAAGAGCCGGGAGUCAGAAGACCUGCCUGUGUAAAUAAGGAGAU